UACGUAGGUGGCAAGCGUUGUCCGGAUUUACUGGGUGUAAAGGGCGUGCAGCCGGGCUGACAAGUCAGAUGUGAAAUCCCGCAGCUCAACCGCGGAACUGCAUUUGAAACUGUCAGUCUUGAGUACCGGAGAGGUCAUCGGAAUUCCUUGUGUAGCGGUGAAAUGCGUAGAUAUAAGGAAGAACACCAGUGGCGAAGGCGGAUGACUGGACGGCAACUGACGGUGAGGCGCGAAAGCGUGGGGAGCAAACAGG
Molecule: ribosomal RNA, 253 nt
Filed under: uncultured bacterium
Lineage: Bacteria
Description: partial 16S ribosomal RNA
Rfam family: Bacterial small subunit ribosomal RNA
Source: RNAcentral